CUACGGGACGCUGCAGUGAGGAAUUUUGCGCAAUGGGGGAAACCCUGACGCAGCAACGCCGCGUGAGUGAAGAAGGCCCUUGGGUCGUAAAGCUCUGUCAAUGGGGAAGAAGUUACUUGGUAUUAAUAGUGCCUUGUAUUGACGGUACCCAUGAAGGAAGCACCGGCUAACUCCGUGCCAGCAGCCGCGGUAAUACGGGGGGUGCACGCGUUAUUCGGAAUUAUUGGGCGUAAAGGGCACGCAGGCGGUCCUGUCAGUCAGAUGUGAAAGCCCGGGGCUCAACCCCGGACGUGCAUUUGAAACAGCAGGACUUGAGUACGGGAGAGGAAAGGGGAAUUCCUGAUGUAGAGGUGAAAUUCGUAGAUAUCAGGAGGAACACCGGUGGCGAAGGCGCCUUUCUGGACCGAUACUGACGCUGAGGUGCGAAGGCGUGGGUAGCGAACGGGAUUAGAUACCCGCGUAGUC
Molecule: ribosomal RNA, 465 nt
Filed under: uncultured bacterium
Lineage: Bacteria
Description: partial 16S ribosomal RNA
Rfam family: Bacterial small subunit ribosomal RNA
Source: RNAcentral